This 497-nucleotide ribosomal RNA is filed under the name uncultured bacterium. RNAcentral's name for it is "partial 16S ribosomal RNA". It matches the Rfam family "Bacterial small subunit ribosomal RNA", at positions 28 to 507 of the family's 1533-position model. The record is from RNAcentral.
GAUGAACGCUGGCGGCGUGCCUAAUACAUGCAAGUCGAGCGAACGGACGAGAAGCUUGCUUCUCUGAUGUUAGCGGCGGACGGGUGAGUAACACGUGGAUAACCUACCUAUAAGACUGGGAUAACUUCGGGAAACCGGAGCUAAUACCGGAUGAUAUUUUGAACCGCAUGGUUCAAAAGUGAAGGACGGUCUUGCUGUCACUUAUAGAUGGAUCCGCGCUGCAUUAGCUAGUUGGUAAGGUAACGGCUUACCAAGGCAACGAUGCAUAGCCGACCUGAGAGGGUGAUCGGCCACACUGGAACUGAGACACGGUCCAGACUCCUACGGGAGGCAGCAGUAGGGAAUCUUCCGCAAUGGGCGGAAGCCUGACGGAGCAACGCCGCGUGAGUGAUGAAGGUCUUCGGAUCGUAAAACUCUGUUAUUAGGGAAGAACAUAUGUGUAAGUAACUGUGCACAUCUUGACGGUACCUAAUCAGAAAGCCACGGCUAACUACGUG